RNAcentral lists this ribosomal RNA (374 nucleotides) under uncultured organism. RNAcentral's name for it is "partial 16S ribosomal RNA". It matches the Rfam family "Bacterial small subunit ribosomal RNA", at positions 527 to 896 of the family's 1533-position model. The record is from RNAcentral.
GUAGGUGGCAAGCGUUGUCCGGAAUUAUUGGGCGUAAAGCGCGCGCAGGCGGUUCUUUAAGUCUGAUGUGAAAGCCCACGGCUCAACCGUGGAGGGUCAUUGGAAACUGGAGAACUUGAGUACAGAAGAGGAAAGCGGAAUUCCACGUGUAGCGGUGAAAUGCGUAGAGAUGUGGAGGAACACCAGUGGCGAAGGCGGCUUUCUGGUCUGUAACUGACGCUGAGGCGCGAAAGCGUGGGGAGCAAACAGGAUUAGAUACCCUGGUAGUCCACGCCGUAAACGAUGAGUGCUAAGUGUUAGGGGGGUUUCCGCCCCCCUUAGUGCUGCAGCUAACACAUUAAGCACUCCGCCCUGGGAGUACGGCCGCAAGGCUG